CGAGUAAGUCAGAUGGUCGCGGACGUGAUUAUUCACGGACGAGGAAAGUCCGAGCUCCAUAGGGCAAGGUGCUGGGUAAUACCCAGUGGAGGCGACUCCAAGGAAAGUGCAACAGAAAUAGACCGCCAGAGAAAUCUGGUAAGGAUGGAAAGGUGAGGUAAGAGCUCACCAGCAACUAGGCGACUAGUUGGCUCUGUAAACCCCACCCGGAGCAAGACCAAGUAGGGACUAAAAAGCGGCUGCCCGCCGUGUCCCGUGGUAGGUCGCUUGAAUCUACUGGCAACAGUAGAUCUAGAAAGAUGGCUGUCAAAUACAGAACUCGGCUUAUAGAUUUACUCGUUUC
This 343-nucleotide RNase P RNA is filed under the name Anaerosolibacter carboniphilus. Its description in RNAcentral is "Bacterial RNase P class A". It matches the Rfam family "Bacterial RNase P class A". Rfam says of the family: Ribonuclease P (RNase P) is a ubiquitous endoribonuclease, found in archaea, bacteria and eukarya as well as chloroplasts and mitochondria. Lineage: Bacteria; Bacillati; Bacillota; Clostridia; Peptostreptococcales; Thermotaleaceae. The record is from Rfam by way of RNAcentral.